GACGAACGCUGGCGGCGUGCUUAACACAUGCAAGUCGAACGGAAAGGCCCCUUCGGGGGUACUCGAGUGGCGAACGGGUGAGUAACACGUGGGUGAUCUGCCCUGCACUUCGGGAUAAGCCUGGGAAACUGGGUCUAAUACCGGAUAGGACCCCUUGGCGCAUGCCUUGGGGUGGAAAGCUUUUGCGGUGUGGGAUGGGCCCGCGGCCUAUCAGCUUGUUGGUGGGGUCACGGCCUACCAAGGCUCCGACGGGUAGCCGGCCUGAGAGGGUGUCCGGCCACACUGGGACUGAGAUACGGCCCAGACUCCUACGGGAGGCAGCAGUGGGGAAUAUUGCACAAUGGGCGCAAGCCUGAUGCAGCGACGCCGCGUGGGGGAUGACGGCCUUCGGGUUGUAAACCUCUUUCACCAUCGACGAAGGUCCGGGUUUUCUCGGAUUGACGGUAGGUGGAGAAGAAGCACCGGCCAACUACGUGCCAGCCGCCGCCGUAACAC
RNAcentral lists this ribosomal RNA (495 nucleotides) under uncultured bacterium. RNAcentral describes it as "bacterial SSU rRNA". It matches the Rfam family "Bacterial small subunit ribosomal RNA", at positions 28 to 526 of the family's 1533-position model. The record is from RNAcentral.